CCUACGGGAGGCAGCAGUAGGGAAUAUUGCUCAAUGGGGGAAACCCUGAAGCAGCAACGCCGCGUGGAGGUUGAAGGUUUUCGGAUUGUAAACUCCUUUUGUUAGAGAAGAUAAUGACUGUAUCUAACGAAUAAGCACCUGCUAACUCCGUGCCAGCAGCCGCGGUAAUACGGAGGGUGCAAGCGUUACCCGGAAUCACUGGGCGUAAAGAGCGUGUAGGCGGGAUAGCAAGUCAGAUGUGAAAUCCUAUGGCUUAACGAUAGAACUGCAUUUGAAACUGUUAUUCUGGAGUAUGGGAGAGGUAGGUGGAAUGCUUGGUGUAGGGGUAAAAUCCAUAGAGAUCAAGCGGAAUACUCAUUGCGAAGGCGACCUGCUAGAACAUGACUGACGCUGAUGCACGAAAGCGUGGGGAGCAAACAGGAUUAGAUACCCGUGUAGUC
This 440-nucleotide ribosomal RNA is filed under the name uncultured bacterium. RNAcentral's name for it is "partial 16S ribosomal RNA". It matches the Rfam family "Bacterial small subunit ribosomal RNA", at positions 338 to 795 of the family's 1533-position model. The record is from RNAcentral.